ACACAAUGGCGGAUUUAAGAAAGAUGUUCCAUUGUUGGAGGAAGUUGUGAUUUUGGAAGGUGCAGCUCACUUUGUCAACCAAGAAAGGCCAGAUGAGAUUAGCAAACACAUCUAUGACUUCAUUCAAAAGUUUUAAGCUUACUCUUUUCUCACUACCACUAGUCGAGUCUCGUUCUCUAUGGCAUGCACGUCUUUGAUAGGAUCGAUGGAGACAGAUGUAUAGAUAUGGCAUGCACGUCUUUGAUUGGAUCGAUGGAGACAGAUGUAUAGAAAGUGUGUUGUGCUUGAUUGUACUUGUUUUGAGUUUGAUAACUCUUCUGAUAAUAACUUUCUAAGUGAUUGUUCUUAUGGUUAUUUCUUUUUAUGCUAUAAAAGAGUGCUCUUAAGGUGAAUUGAUGGUCAUUUUUAGCUUGUCAUAAUAAUUGUUGCUAAAACAGGUUUACUUUAUUGAAAAUUAUUUCAUUUUUUCCUUGGUAGUGGUAAGGUCAAGUACACUUUACCUUUCUCAGACCUCACUUCUAGAAUUUUGCGAUGGGCCACUUGGCGCGUCGCGGUGAGGUUCCAAAAUGGGUUUCAGUUGCGAAUUUAAAUUCCGAAGGGAAAUCUCGUCUCCAUAACCCCAAAUUGUGAUAACAGUAGAUUAACUCGUCAUUAGAACAUUAUAUGUCCAAAAUUACUCAAUUUCUCUCGAGAACUAAACCCAACUCUUCCCCAAAAAUCAAGAAUUCAACCUCGAAGAUCAAGAUUUCAAGAAAAGAGUCAAGAUUAUGGUUCCAAUCUUCAAACUAAACAACAUAAGGUAUGUGGGACUAUCCUUAAAUUUCAUGGGCAUGGAUUUUAUCAUUUUAUCAAGUGUAAGGGUUUAUAAUCAUGUUGCAAACUAAGAGUUUGAUUAUUGAUUUAAAAAGCAUGUCAUGAAAUCGUUUUGCCUCUCUUGUUACGAAACGUAGUGUCUAUUUGUAUUGUGAGUGAUUCUGAAUACAUGAACUAAGGUUUGAAGGUAAGUUCCUUAACAUCAUGGUGUUUAGCAUGGUUUAUGAUAUGAUGAGAGGGAGUUUUCUUACUAUAACAAUACUCUUUGCAUUAAAAGAGAAGAAUUACAUGUGACUGAAUGAUUGACAUGAUCACCGCAUAUUUAAGUCUUGCAAAAAGAGGGUAAUUGCAUAAGUUUUCUUGAGAUUUCAAAAUGAUGACUCUCUUGUGAUGUUAUAAAUCUUUGGUGGUCAUUUGCAUGUUUUGAAUGAGAUGGGCUGUGAAAUAGAUACGAUAUGAACGACUUGCAAGUUUGGGUAUGACGUUACCCUGUGAUGGCAUGCCCUUAACAUAUUGAGCAUCGAAUGACCUUCAAAUAUUUCCAUCUCUACAUUUGGUGAAUCCCCUAUAAUGUCAUACCCUUCGAAUGAGUAUUUUUUUUGCUCUUUAGAAGCCAACUUUUUUUUUUCUUUACAACUUGAUCCAAAAUAAGUUAAAAAGGAGAACGGUAAAUCUUUGAUGGCUUUCUUGAGUGUGGUGCAGAUGUCUUUUUAACAUCUGACACAUCCUUUUUUGGCGUAGCAAAGGUAGACAAAAUUGCGGUGUCACUAAUCAUAUCCUCGUCUAGAGUUGUUGGUGGAGGCUUGUAAAUUAUCAAUGUCAUAUCGUGUUCUCGACCUGGAAUAAUACUAUCAAGCGGUUGCAUUUUUUCAACAACAAUGUCGCUCAGUUUCUCAAUUCCAUCAUCAUGAAAAGGAUUUGAAACAUUAACAAAUAUUUUACCAAAAAAGUUCAAUUAUUUUAAAUCCAAAAUAGUAACAACGAUGUCCACUUAUGUAUGUCAACUUUACCAAAAAGUAGUAACUUGCAUCUCAACUUUAUUUUAACUUGUAAGUUGUAUCUCAACUUUAUUUUAACUUGUAUCUCAACUUUAUUUUAAAUCUGAAAUAUUAAUUACAUAACUGUUUGUAUUUUUUUUUUAGUGAAUUAGAUUCUUACUACUAAAUUAAUCAAACUGUACAAGAUACCUAAAUGUUAAGUUAGAGACAAAAAGUAAAAAUAUUUAUCUUUCAUUUCGUAGCAUAAGAUAGGCACAAACCUAUUACAUAUAUGUCUUAGUUUACAUUUUAUCAUUUCAAGCAUGCCAAAAUAGUCAUGUUAAUUACAAAACACAUAAUGAAUGUUAAUUACCUUUUCAUAUUGUUCACCAUUCUUGAAAGGUGGUGGUGCUUGGUUGGCUUUAUCCUCCUCCAUUUCAACUGGUUUGCCAGUUUCUUUCACUAGACUGUCAGUACUAGUACGUCCUGCAACAUCAACAACAUCAUCCGAAGGAUCACCUUCUUGCCGGCUCUGUUUUAAAAUAUCUUCCUGUAGACUUUUUAUCAGUGAAUAAAAAUAUUCAAUACGACAUUAGUUAAAAAAAUGAAAAACAAUAUAAUUAGUACUUAUGAAAAGUAAGUAAACAUUAAGAUAUAUACACAUUACAAGAUAAUUAAAAUAGUAAAUAUGUAUCAUGGCCACCUCCAUUUUUUCUAUUUUUUCUGAGACAAAAUGUGGACUGAUGGGAUUACUAUGGCCUUCAAAGUCAGCAACAUCAUCUGAAUGUUGACCCUCUUUCGGGCUUUGUUUUGCAACUUUUUCCUGCAACAUAAGGAUGAGCAGUAAGAAUAAAUUCAAUAUAGUCGUUAAUAAAUGUGUAUUGUUUUAAAGCAUGUUACCUUCUCCACAGUCUCAUUUUUCGGCUGCAAUGACUUCAAAACUUCAGAGAAUCUGUCAUUCAUUAGAUGCUCUAAAUCUUUAAAUUUUUGGUCAAUCUAAUAAAUAUGCAUAAUUGAUUAGUUAAAAUGCAUACAAACCAAAAAUUUAUACAACAAUAAAGUAUAUAGAUCCUUACAUAUGUCUUCACAUAUGUCUUUAUUUCGGACUCUAACUAAUUUAGGUCCGCUUUAACCAAAAGCUCUUUCCUAUUUAUGCAUGUAGAAUCAACAUCCACUUUACUCUUUUCUUCUAUAUCUGUUGGAUUCGCGAGUAUUUGUUAAGCAUAUAAAAGAACACGAUAUAGAAACGUUUUCAUUAUGAGAAAAAUAUAAUAGAUGUUGAUAUGGAAAUACCUGUUGUCUGUUUUUAUUUUUUGCGUUCCGAAUCUGCCUUUCUUCUUUACUAUCUGAUCUUCUUCCUAUAGGGACAUCUUUUUCACUCUUUGACAGAGGUGCGAAUACUGUACGAGAUACGUGUAUCGACUCCCUCAUCAAAAAUUAUAGAGGUGUCGUACUGAAGUCAUUAAAAUUGUCAUAAUCUUCGAAAACUUGGGGUAAAUUCACUCUGUAACUCCUUUGAUCUGGAUUUUCAGUUGAUGAUGGCAUCGGGUAAUCAAAUGCAAUAUUAGUUGGCGGCAAAUCAAGUUUUUCAAACUUCUCCGCACUAGAAACAAUGUUGGCAUAUGAACACUAUGUACAAAACAUUUAUUCAUUAAAAAUUAUUAUGAUUAAAACUAAAAGUACUAUAAUGCAAUGUAUAAAAAAAAUUCAAUCAGUAUCGUACCUUGCUAAACAUUUCGGUCAUAAACUGAUUAAACUGAGGUCGGACUGCAAUAACCUUCCAAUUCAAUAUACGAAGUAUGUUAUAACCCUCUUUCACAGCAACUUUGGUAUCAACAUUUGAACAGUGUUCAAACAUCCACACAUUAAGAACCUAAGGGAUACCACCCAACCUAUAAAGCUGCUUCUCAACAAAAAAUUCUUUCCCACGUAAGGUCAUCAACCCGGAGUAGGACACUUUACCCCAAGAAAAGAAUUCAUAUUUUCCAUUUUUAACCAUUUUGACAUCAGACAAUGGAACAGGAAAAGCAUUCAGCUGUGAGUUGAUGAAUGUGUGGAUGAAGUAUAAGAUAGUCAUCUGGAGGGUAUCCUCUUUGUUUUCAAAAUUUUUCUUCAGAAAACGUUCCACCAAUGCCUCCUUAUCAACCCCAUUCGUUGAUUGUGGAAAAUAUCUUUUCAUAAGCUAACUCGGAGAAGAAUCUUCAUAUUUGAAAUCAACAUUACCAAAACAGUUUAAGCCAGUUAUUAAAGCAAAUUUAUAGAUGGAAAAUCUAAUAAUCUGGCCUUUGACAAACACAUGUAUCUCUUCUUGAUUUGGUUGCUUGAUCUCGAGCAUAAGAAGAUAUUUUGUUAUUUGUCCAAUAUAAUUGGAAAGAGGUAUGUUGAGAUAACAUCCAAAAAUAGUCUUCUCAAAUAAGUUUAAAACUUCUUGGCCGACAACUUCUUUAAUUUCAUCCUUAAAUCUUAAAUUGCAUGAACUUACAAAUCUAAGAGGAUGAGUUGAAAUUUCCUUUAUAACGUAACUGAUCAAUUCCUAAAAACUAAAAAAAAAAAAAAAGAGAUAAUACAUUAAUAUGACCUUAAACAUGACAUCAAAUUAUAACUUUGACCUUAAACUUUGAUAGUGCAUAAAUAGGACCUUUAACUAUUCAAAACCUGAACAAAUAUGACCUCCGAUUUUGCAACCCCAUGCGUGAGUUUCACUCGCGCCUACGUGGAAAGGUAAUCCAAUCACACGGUGCCACGUCGUUAAAAGGGCUGACUUGGAGGGAGGUCAUAUUUGUGCAGUUUUGACUAGUUAAAGGUCAUAUUUGUGCACUAUCAAAGUUUUGCUUUUUGUGUUAAAACGACGUCGCUAUUAUUAUUAUUAUUAUUAUUUAUUUAUUUAUUUAUUUAUUUCUAUAGAGGCAACACCUAGACUUUUUUUAUUAAAAAAAAACAGUCACUAGCAGGAAUUGAACCCGCACAGUAGGCUGAAGGAAGCGCCUAAAAAAAGCAAUUAACACCACUAGGUUGUCUAAGUGUCUUGUUUCAUGUGAUUCAACAUUAAUAUACGUACAUAAAUAUAGAUUUUCUAUCUUAUAUGUACAACGUAAUUUUUUUACCGAGGGGUUCGGGUGAACCCCGUGGCAAUCACGUAGGCCCGCUCCUGCGUUAAUUUAAUAACGUUUUAAUAACAUUAACUUAAUAACAUUUUAAUAACGUUAAUUUAAUACAUUACUACUACUAUCCUUAAUAACAUUAAUUUAAUAAUAUUUUAUUAAAACUAUAAUUUUUUUAUUAUUAGUAUAAUUUCAUAUUUAAUUUAAUAUUUAAAUAAAUUAUAUUUAGAUAUAUUAUAUAACUUAAAUUUUUCCUCUGCUUUAUAAUAUAUAUACAUACCCACCUAACUAAUAAAUCUUCAAUAUUGCUCUUUUUUCCACAAUGACAAAAGAAAUUAGAUGUCAUUUUCAUCUUUUGAGCCAAAAAUAAUGAAAAAAUAAUAGUGAAAAGACAUUUAAAGGUCAUAUUUGUGCAAUUUUGAAUAGUUAAAGGUCAUAUUUGUGCACUGUCAAAGUUUAAGGUCAAAGUUAUAAUUUGGUAUCUAGUUUAGGGUCAUAUUUAUGUAUUAUACCCUUAGAUUUUAAGUUGGACGAGCCCAGUUUUGCGUGUUGAUCACGCGUUUUGCCACGUGGGAUCGGAGGUCAUAUUUGUACAGUUUUGAAUAGUUAAAGGUCACAUUUGUGCACAGUCAAAGUUUAAGGUUAAAGUUAUAAUUUGAUGUCAAGUUUAGGGUCAUAUUUAUGUAUUAUCUAAAAAAACAAUAAUGAUAAAAUUAGUUGAGAUGCAAUAACUCUACAUUAAGACAAUACAAUAUAUACAAAAACUCUACGAACAUCAUUCUUUAGCUACAAGUUAAUACAACAUUUAUGUAGAUAUAGGCUUGUAUCUUUUGUAAUAUGACUUUCAAUAGCAAUUAAACAACACUAGAUACAUUUUAAGGCAUUAACAGUUAGUCACAGAUACAAGUUAAUACAACAUGUAUCUAUGAAGUUAUAACUCGUAUCUCUUAUAAUAAGACUUUCACUAAAAUUUAAACACCAAUAGAUACAUAUUAAAGCAUUAACAAUAACUCACAGACACAAGUCAACAUAACAUGUAUCUAUAUACUUAUAAACUUGUAUCUUUUGUUAUAUUAAUUUCAAUAUAAAAAAAAAUCACAAGAUACAUAUAAAAUUGGCAACAAAGAACCAGAUAAACAAUGAGUUUCUAAACGUAUCAUUCAAGUCAAAAUGUGUAUCUCGGCCUAAUAUUCAACAGAUCUGAACAUGCAAUUACCUAAGGAAGCUCAUCUCUAGAAAUUGCUUCGACAAUUCUUCUUCUCUUGAUGGGAGCUUUACUUGCAGGACUGUUGGAUCCUCUUUUCUUAGAACCACUUUCUUUUUUCUUGUCCUUCUUAGGAUGCUUUUGCCGUAAUUUCUUCAUAGUUUGGGGAUCGUUUCUAUGUUUUGAUCUAUUUUCAUUAAAAUCAUCAAAUUCAUAGUCAAAAUUUUCAGAAACGAAGUUUACAACUCCUUGAGAUUCUUUGAUACUUUCUAAUUGAGAAAAUCCAAGACUAAAAGAAGGUCCAGAAUCUCUAUUCAUAAUGAUAAUUCAAACAAUAAAGCAUAAAAAAAAUAUAAUCAAAGAAAUUACUCAACCAAAACACUCAAAUUUUACUUAGCUUUACUUGUGCAAAUUUUAUUUUUUUUUGAAAAAUAAAAAAGGAAUAGAAUAAAUUGAAGCUGAUUUUAUGGGAGGAAACUACCUUAAUUGAAAGUUUUGAAUUAGAUGGAGAAGUUGGAUAGAAACUACACCACAAAUUGCGACAUGCAUAGAGGAGAAGUGGGUUAUUUCAACUUUACCAAAAAGUAUGAAAUAUUACGAUUUAAGUAAUUUUCUUAAAAGUGGGGAGAUUUUUAAAAGUUUAGAAACUUAUGUUAUUUAUUUUGGUAAUUUUUUCUUUUUUAUAUCCAUCAUUUUUUAAAUGUUAAGGAUCAUUAAUGCUCCAUCGUGUUCACCCAAAACCAAGUGAAGCUCCAGACAUAAUGCACAGUGUUUGUACUUUUUCUAAUCCAAAAGAUAUUGUAAAGGAAAAAUAUGCAUCAUUUUUAGUUACGGAAUAAUCAAUAAUUUUUAAAAUUCAUCAAUAAAUUUAUUGAAAUACUUAAGCAAGAAUAUGUUACAAAUUUAGCAUCUGAACAAGUAUUUCUAUUAGAUACUUCUAAAAUUUAUGUAUGCAUUUUUAAGCACCUAUUACAUAGAUAAGUUAACUAUAUAAAAUAUAUCACUUUUUUUAAUUAUACACAUCGACCUCAAUCAGUUAGUUUUAUGAUUAACUGACGCUGAUAUGUAUAGUUAAAGGCCUCAUUCAUAACAAACCUCAGUUUUACGAGGUAUGGUUAAAAGAAUUGAUAUAUUCAACUAGUUAAAUUAUAGAAAAGCUUUUACACAAUUUGAAUAAAAAUAAUUCAAUAAAAACUUUAUCAUGUAUUUAGAUAUUUAAUCAAAACAAACAUUAACACCAAAAAAGAUACUUAGCGAUAACUAGUUAACGAUAAUAACUUAAUUAUUGCUAAAUUAUAUUUUUUAGUAGCAAUUAUUAGUGACAAUUGUAUUCUAGUGCUUUUUGUAAAUGCCCCUAACUAAUGUCAGUAAGUAUCCAAUGUAUUCAGCCUUUUUAAAACCUACUUUCUCGGUUUUAUUUUAUGUGUCGUCAUUUUCUUUUUAGUUCGUGUUAAAAAAAUGUCAUCUUUCCUUAUUUGAUAACUAUUUAAUGACAAUAUUUCCAUUUAUCCUUACUGGGUUCAACUUAAUAAAAAAAAAUAAUUAAAAAAUAAAUUUUAAGAGAGACAAUUUUGUAAACUUUAUAAAAUUAUCACUAAUUUCUUAAAUUUUCUGCCCGAUCAAAAUGCAAGACACAAAAUGGGAUUGAGGAAGUAAAAUAUUAUUGAUGCUGUCAAUGAUAGCACUUUAUAGUGAUAUUGACAUGACAACCAGUCAACCAUAACAGAAUCAAGUCUGACGUUUGUUACAGUUACAUGUCACAAUUAGGGGUGGGCAUGAUAUAGUAUGGUAUAGUAUUUUAAAUUUUGGUAUAGUGACUUCAGUUUUUGGUAUCUAAAAAAUAAUAUCAUUAGUUCGGUAUGGUUCGAUAUUUUUAAAUUCAAUUUCGGUAUUUUACGGUAUGUUAAUUCGGUAACUAUACUUUAUUUGAUUACUAAUUACAUAAAUUCAUAUAAAAACUAUAAUUUUAAAUUUUAAAAAAGUCUCAAGCAUGUUAGGCUAACAACUAUCUUUGUUAAUCAAUUACACAAAAAUAACAUUUCAAUCAUGAUUGAAUAGUCUGAGAUGCAAACUUUGAACAACAGUACCUAAACUUAAGCAUAGUACUCCUAAAUAAUAAACUUCCCAAAAAAUUUAUUUCUGAAAGCUACUUUUGUGUUCAAUUGGCUAAUGGGUGAUAUAUAAAUAUAUUUAAUAAUCCUAAAUAUAAUAUAUAUAUAUAUANNNNNNNNNNNNNNNNNNNNNNNNNNNNNUAUAUAUAUUAAAAAACUUUGAUGUGGUAUACGGUAUUUCGGUAUUUAUUGCAUAAAUACUAAAUACCAUAUCAAAUACCAAAAUAAUUUAAAAUUUCUACUAAAUACCAUACCAAAUACCAUAACAUUCAUAUCGCGAUAUAAAAAAUUUUGGUUUUGAUUUAGUAUUCGGUAUAUACCAUACAUGAAAACGAGAAGAAUCAAAAUGGAGAAGAUAGAGCACAAAAUGGCAGCUGUAAAUGGCAUAAACAUGCAUGUAGCAGAAUUAGGCAAAGGUCCAAUAGUCCUCUUCAUACAUGGCUUCCCUGAGCUCUGGUAUUAUUUUCUUGAAUUUUGAAUUUUGUAAGUCAUAAUUAUUUUUAUAUAUAUGUUGCUGGUGGAAGGUGGUAGAUAUUUUGUUGAUUUAGUCGAGUGUAUAAAAGUUGGCCUGAAUAUUAUGGUCAUAAAAAAUUCAUUGUUCAAGGAAAGUCUUUUAAUGAAGAACAAAAAGUUUAAAUCACCUUUUUAAAUGUCUUCACACUUUUAAUAUAUAUAUCAUGCCUCACAUGUAUAACUUUUGAUUAUUUAAAAUUAGACGAUUUUGUCUAUUAUAAAGAUUUUUAAUGAAGUGCAAAAAGUUCAAAUCACUUCUCAAAGAUCUUUCAAAUUUUAAUAUAAUAAUAUAAAUAUAGCAUAUAUUUAAUUGUAAUUCCAUAUUAGAUCGUCACUUUUACCUUUGUCAUGCAAUACCUCUUUUCCUUACGGCUAAUUGUAAUUUAAGAAUAUAUUGAACGGAGAACUUAAAACUUAUGAUGUGAAAUAAGUAAGAAAAACUAAAAAAAGGGCAGCUCGGUGCAGCUAUCGCAAUGCUCGGUGUCCGGAAAAGGGCCCACCACAAGGGUGUAUUGUACGCAACCUUACCUUGCAUUUCUGCUGGAGGCUAUUUUCAAGACUUGAACCCGUGACCUCCUGGUCACAUGGCAACAACUUUACCAGUUACUCCAAGGCUCCCCUUCAAAAGGACAGUCCGGUGCACUAAAACUACCGCUAUGAGAAGAAAGGGGUGUUGCGAGAAAAACUAAUCGCUUGUAAAUUGAACUUAUAUUAUGUCGAUGCCAAAUCAAAGCAAAAAUAAUUGCGAACAUGACAAAAGUACAUGAUGACUCUAAUCAAAGCAUUACCCAAUUUUAAAUUUUGAAAAAGAAGAAAAAAUAAGAGGAAGAAUAAUAUCUUUGAAAAGGACUUUUUCCAGACAAAUUUAUUAUUGAUAUACAAUUUACAUGUGAAUACAUAUAAUACAAGAGUCUCCUCUACGUAUAGGACUAAGCUACUUAGUAGCUAUGAUAAAGGAAUACGUAAAAUAAUAUCCCUAAUUUGUUGUUAGAUAGAAACACACUGACGUCUAAAUCAUGGUAAGUGUUUUGUUUUAAAACUUCUUAAUUUUUUUUCUUACCCCCAUACCUCCACCCCUAGCCCCCUAUCAACACCCCCCUCCCCCAAAAAAAUAUAUUUUAAAAUUUUUAAUUAUUUUUUUUAAAAUAUUCAAAAUUCCGCACCUCCCUUAACUCAUUCCUUCUCAUUAUUUUUGUUAAAUAUAUACAAAUAUUUUUAAAAAACGUUUUCCUACUUGCAUAAUGAACAAAAAAAAAGUAAGUAAAGACAACUUCUUUUUCUAAAAAAUAUUUUUCAUAACUUUUAAAAUUAUUAUCAACUCAACUCUUACUGCAGAAAGUUAUAACAUAUCCUUUACUACUCAAAUAGUCAGAGUUCCCGCCCAUAACAUAAUAAAUUGGGGUAAACUUAAGUAUUCCUAAAGCUCAUAUUGCAUUACAUCAAAAAAAUGUCUUACCAAUAUUCUGCAGUACUUUCUUUAUUCAAUCGAGGACAUAAAUAGAAAACAAAAAGGUGGACGUUCAAAGUAAAUUCUUAGUCAUUGUAGGGCCUAUAAGGACAUCUAACAUCUCAAACAAUACUAAUAUACAUGUGCACAUAACUUAUUUCUACCCUACAAUUAUUAUUUUUAUAAGUGGGAGGUUAUUUACGAUAAAUCAUCUAUUGAAGAAAUAAUAAUAAUAAUAAUAAUAAUAAUAAUAAUAAUAAUAUCAAAGAAUAAUCAAAAGUCUUAUUUGUAUGAGAUCAGUCGCCAAAUGCUGCAAAAUAAAAUGAAAAAAUCAAUUAGGUGUGGCCCGCACAAGAAAUGAAAUUUGUAAAUAUUCUACCAUGUAUAACGAUUCUUUUAUUUAUAAAUGUAAAGUACCUCAAUCUUAAAGUAAUUAACCCUAACUUUUCUCCUUAUAAUCAAAGUUGAUUUUAUCAUAUAUGUUUAAGAAAAUAGAAGAAUCUGUAUCUAUUACAUAGUUUUUUAAUGAAUGACAAAUAACUCAAAUAACAUUGAUAUUUUAUAUAAAUUCAAAGCGAUAAUACAACUCAAUAAGAUGUUGAUAUCCAAUAAUAUGACAGGAGCACAUGUAUAUUAGUAGAAGCUCCAAACUACAAAUUAAUAACUUCUACCCUUGAAAAAAAAAAAUUAUUAAGAAAGACUAAAAAUAUAUUAAGCUUACAACAAUAACAAUAUACCUCAUGAAAUGUCACAAGUGAACGCAAAUCUUGUCAUAUCUCGUGGAGAUAGAAGACUUCUUUCAAUAUAAUCGACUUAAUUGCAUCAAAUUAAUUCACAUCCUCGGUACCCUCUUAUUUAAGGUAAUGUUAAGAGGUUAACAAUAUCAUAAUUUUAUCACAACACCAAUAGAAAUAUAAAAAAUAAAUAGUAGAACGCAUAAAAUCAAUUUUACAAAAGAUGAAACAAAAAUUACAUAUUAAGAAAACAACUAAAAAUCUAAUAUGUAGUAUGUACAUUAAUCUACAAUGUAAAUAUUUCUCUUAAUUUCUCACCCUACUUUCUUACGUCUAACUAGCAAAUUUACUAUUGCAAGCUAUUUUCUCAUUAUCAACAUCAUCGUAUAAAAAUUUCUGUGCCCAAGAAACAAACAUUACAAAGAUCGACUUGAGUUUAUAAUGUCCCUGAAAGUUGAUAUAUAUAUAUAUGAAAAAUUAUUUUAUCGUAAAUCUCCUUUUAUGGUGCAAGAGAGACUUCAAUAGCAUAAUUAAUUACCUGAAUAUUAAAUCAAAAGCAAGUCAUUUCUUAAACUUGUAAGUGCUCAUAUACAUGUGAGAAAUUAUUUGCAUCUCUAUAUACUAAUGAAAUUAAUUUUACAUGUAGUGUAACUUAAAAAAAUAAUUAAUUUAUAUUUAGAGUGAUAGACAUAUCCGAAGUUUGAUCAAGUAUUUAGAUUGAUCAAGUAGCUGUGCAAUAAUUCUAGACUGAAGAAAAAAAGAGGAAAAAAUUCGUGAAAGAAUAUGCCUAGCAAAAAAUUUAUUACGACAUCAAGUUCUAGUCAGAUUUGACAUUGAGUCUUCAAAUUAUAUCGGCAAAUUGAUAAACCAUAAAUCAGUAGAAUGAAUGAUUGGAGUCUCUUCAACCUUAAUUACAUGUCUCAUAUUCUUCAACUUCUUAAAUUAAAAUAAAAAAAUCUUACUUGAUAAGUAGCAUCCAUUAAACAAAAGAAAACCUUUAAAAUUAUUUUAUCUUCAUAAUUUGUUCGUCAACUAUGUUUAUGUGUCGAUAUUUUCAUCAUUCGUCCGUCUGCAAGAUACCAACAAAAAAAAAAAUUAAAUCAAAACCGCGAACAACAAAGAACAACCUAAAAUCAAAACAAAAAUAGAAAUUUUGAACCCUUACCCACGUUUGUGUGAUCGAGUUAAUAUUUUGACUCUCAAUUGUCUCUUUUUGUUUUGAUACUUUGCAUACGUAUUUAAUAAGGAAAAACACUCUUAAUUGUAAUUUAUUUUCAUAUAUUUUAGGAUCUAUAUAUGGUAGGACUUGUACUCCCAUAUAUGUUAGGAGUAUAUUUUAAGUACGGAUCCCACAAUUCUUAUGGUAAUUAAAAUCAAUAUAUUGUAGAAAUUUUAAUUUAAUAAAUAAUAAUUAGAAGAAAAAAAGUAAAAAGAUGAUUUUGUCUAAAGUGGGGUCUUUUAAUGAGGGUAAAAAGUUCAAAUAACAUUUAUAUGGUCCUUCGCACUUUUAAUAUAUUAAAUAGAUUAUAUAGAUUAUAGAUAUAGAUAUAGAUUAUAGAUAUAGAUAUAUUACAGAUAUACAUUAUAGAUAUAGAUAUAGAUGUAGAUAUAGAUAUUAUGUCGGCCAUACCUCUUCGAAUAAAUUAUAUAAAAAAGAUUCAGAGUCGUAUCUUUAUUAACAAAUAGUUCAAAAUCAAACAAAUAAUAAGGAAAAUCGCUUCUUUCUCACGUAAAAUAUUUUUACUAUGUCAUUAUUCCAUCAUUUGCUUUUCCACUAAGUGAUUGCUUUCGACCUUAGCAUAUGAUCCUAAACAAAUUAAAAAAAGAUCAAACAACAUACCCAAUAAUUUGGAGUUUAAUUACAGAAAAUUUCGAUAUUUACAUAAUUACUAAAAAAAUCGAUUUUGAUUAUAUCGAGAUAUAUAAUUAGCUCAUAAUACAUUCAACGAAGAUAUAUUUUUUUCUUUGUAAAGAAACAUAAUUACCUCUCAAUCCAUUAUUUCCAACUUUGAAUUUAUCAAGAUAUAUAUUACAUCCAAUAAAAAUAUAUUUUUUUCUUUGUAAAGAUACACAAUCAACUCUCAAUAUAUUUUUUUUUUUAUUUUGAAUCUAUAUAUUUAUGUUAUUUUUUUUAUGUCCAUAUUUUUUAAAUGUUAAAGGAUCAUUAAUGCUCCAUCGUGUACACCAAAAAACCAUGUGAAGCUCCAGAAAUAAUGAAUAGUUUUUGACUUCUUGUACUUUUUCUAAUCCAGAAGAUAUUCUAAAGGAAAGAUAUUCAUCAUUUUUAAAUACGAAAGAGAUCGAUAAUUUCUUAAAUUUAUUUAAAUACUCAAGCAAGAAUAUGUUACAACUUUAGCAUCUGAACAAGUGUUUCUAUUAAAUAUUAGAUAUUUUUAAAAUUUAUUUAUGCAUUUUAAAGCAUUUAUUAUAUAUAAGUUAACUAUAUAAAAUAUAUCACUUUUUAAAAUUAUACACAUCGACCUCCAAACCUCAAUUUUACGACUAACUGAUGAGGCUUAAAUGUAUGGUUAAAAGAACUGAUAUGUUCAACUAGUUAAAUUAUAGAAAAGCUUUUAAAAAAUUUGAAUAAAAAUAAUUCAAUAAAUACUUUAUCAUGUGUUUAGAUAUUUAAUCAUAACAAACAUUAACACCAAAAAAGAUACUUAGCGGUAACUAGUUAACGAUAAUAACUUAAUUAUUGCUAAAUUAUAUUUUUUUUAGUAACAAUUACAACAACAACAACAAACCCAGUAUAUUCCCACCAAGUGGGGUCUGAGGAGGGUAGAGUGUACGCAGUCCAUACCACUACCUCUAAAGAGGUAGAGAGGCUGUUUCCGAUAGACCCCCAACUCAAGAUUAAAGAUAGUAUACAAAAGCAUCAAAAGCAAGGAACAUGAUAAAAUAAUAUAAAUACGACAUCCACAGAAGAUUGUACAUUGCCAAACAAAGAACACCAAAGUCCACCUAAUUACUGGCUACGACUCAUCCACACCCUUAGCCCUCUAUCCUAAUGUUUUUCCUCCAUACCUUCCUAUUUAGGGUCAUGUCCUUAGUCAGUUGUAACUGCUCCAUGUCACGCUUAAUCACUUCUCUCCAGCAUUUCUUCGGUCUACCCCUACCCCGCUUGAAACCUUUUAAGGCCAACCUCUCACACCUACGAAUUAGGGCAUCCGUACCCCUCCUAAUCACAUGACCAAACCAUCUCAACCUCACUUCCCACAUUUUUUCCUCCACAUAUACCACUCCCACCUUUGAUACAAGAAAGACAGGGAAACACGAAACAAACACCAAAAUCAGUCCACUAGACAAGAAACCGAGGACCUCUUUUGGUGACUCCUCUCGGAUUCGCUACCAACAAGAAGAAUACAAGGCACAAUGGCAUAAUAACACCAAAAUAGUAGCAACACAACAAGAACAAGAUGAACAAUAGACUAAUUUCAGAUUCCACAUUAACAACACAAACACACGGUUACAACAUCAAAACUAGUACACGAUUACAAAGAAACAAAAAAGAUAGAUAGUUAGACAAAAUGAAGGUAUAAUAUUAACAACCCAAAAACCUAUUCCACUCUUGAACAUUUAACAUCACACACAUCAAAUACCUAACUCUUACGUUGGCACAAGAGUGACCCCGAUCUCCCAAGCAUCCAACAUUUCCAAGCUUCAAUCCAACAUGAGCAAUUCUACACUCAAGUUGAUUUUCCUAGUUACAAUUUCGGGUUGGUGGUCUUCUCUCCUUAGAGAGGAAAUGUUUCAAGUUUUAUAAACUCAUAAUAUUCAUCAAAAUAUCCCUAAUGAAACCCUACAUUAUUCUAUUUAUAGUGUAUUACAAAUAAUAGGUAAAAUGACUAGAAGGCCCCUUAGUGAAGGGCACCCCUCUAGUAUAUGUAGUGAACUGAUUUGGCCCUUUUAGUGUAUGUAGUGGACUGUUUUGGUGUCCAUUUAGGUGAUCCUUUGCACUUCAUUGCACAUACCAAGCCUUGGAUCUAACGUACGCCCUCAUAAGUCCAUCUACGUGAUCGUACUCGUAUCAUCCUCCCCUUCUUGAAAAGUAUUCGACCUCGAAUCCAUACCUUGAAAAAUCAAAGAGGAAACAAACAAGUACACAUCCUUAUGGCAUGAGGGUUAGGGUUAGUAAAAUAAACAAUUAGCACUAUCAUGCCACGGUGGUACACACUUGAAGUACAACCAAGGAUAUUUUAUGUUAAUUAUGAAAAGCUUUUGUACAACAUCACAAACGAAAGGGCUCGGAUGAACAUUAAGAAUUUAGGGACAAAAUCCAAGACUACGCCUCUCAUACGAUGUAUAUCCAACAGCAUCACGAAUAUCAUCAUAUGCAUAUAGGUAGUGAAGAAAGGUACCAAAGAGACAAUUCUCAUCUAAGAUGUAUUCACAAGUAGGAACACACAACUAAAGAAAGGGUCAUUGCAAGCACGUAGGACCUCUCUCCUUCCAACCACUUACCGAGGGAAGGCAUUCCAUCAAGGGAGCCAUACCAAUAGGGAGAAUAGGGAAACUACCAUGCAAAAAUCCAAUCCAAGGCAAGUAGUUUGCCCAAGAACUCGGCUUCCCUCUACAAAUGAUGUGAAGCACGCUCCCAAGAGCCCCACAAGAAACUUCAACUUGUCCAACCCCAUGAAGGUGACAAGAAUUUUUUAACAUCCUUGGACCUUUCCACAAACAAGAAUACAACUUGGCAUCCUCCAGUUGUGGUUCACAUAACUUAAAUACAAGUGUGUCAAACAUGGAUGCACGGAUAUGAGCAACACCCCAAAGAGACAAUGACACUUUUUCCUACGGUCCUCGAGUAGACACAAACCAACAUUAACAUCAAAGGGAUCACAAUUCAAGUCACCAUAUUUGUCAAGCACGGUUGGGGUUUCAUGAAAAUGAGUACAAGCAAAAUCAUUUUUCAAAGAUAUGUCAAGAACAUGAUUAACCCUAUGAGUCAAGCAAACAUUAGAAUCUUUACAACAACAUAGGCUCACGAGUUCACUCCUUUGUCCUUGACCAACAUCAUCAAAUUCUUCAUUCACUUGAGAUUCAUUAAUCACAUCACAUAUAUUCUCAAGUGGUGGGCAAGUUUUACACACAAGUUGAUCAACACAAUUCCACAUAACGAUGUACUUUCAUUUAACAUAAUAGCUUCAACACUAGGUGGACAUAAAUCGAUCUUACUAGAAGAGUCGAUUCAGUCAUCUAUAGAAUCAACUAGUGUAUCCACUCGCACAAUAUGUACAUCAUCCACAAGUGGUAAGGAAUCAAUAUACUCAUAUGUAAGUAAGCUACUACUCACACUCAACGACUUAUUAGUCACAUGUUCAUCAUUCACAUGUACCAAAGUAUAAGAGUUAGCUAUUUUUCCUUAACGUUCAUGAGUAUGUUCAUAUUUACCUCGGUGUGAAAGUCCUUCACAAGUUUGGGCAGCAACUUCCUUCGAAAAGCUCUCACCGCAAGGUGUUUGAACCCUAGGUUUUGGAUUUAUUGGGAUAAGUGUGGAUACCAAUUGGCGUAGCCUUGUCAAACAUGGUAUCGAGAUUGGUGGCAGCCAUGGUACCUAAAAGAAAAGACAACAACGAACAAUAAAACAACAAACUUGUUAGCUCCAAAAUACCUCACCACACUCUCAAUCUCGAUUUUUACCUCACACUUGGUUUCAUAAGUGUUGAAAGUCGGCUUGUACUUUGCGAGUGAUUGAGGGUCGAGUCUACUCUUGUCCGAAAUAGAUUUUCGUUUGAGUUGACUCAAAGAAAAUUUGUUUACGGACUUGAACCAACAAAAUACAACGAAUUCACAAAAGAUAAAAGCAUACAACAAAAAUAGACAUGAACAAACGGACUCUACAACUAACUUACAAUCUAGUAGGAGAUUAGUAGUUUGUUAAUUAGUGUUCAAACCAACAAAUGAAACUAGGAAACAAUAAAAUGAAACUAAGAAAUCUAAAAUUUGAGCUUAAAAAUUGUUGGUGAAUAGUAAAAAUGUGAUGUGGCAGCCACGUAUUGGUUGCAGUUGUUAUCAAAUUUUAUUUUCUAAUUCAAGUCUUGGUCCAAUUAUAAUUUGAAAUUGGUGGGAAUUGGCUAAGGAAAGAAAUCAAGUCUUGAAAUCCUCUUUCAAAUUCAAAAAUAAGACUUGACUUUUCUCCUCAAGACAUGGUCCUUAAAUCAUGAAAAGUUGUUGGAAAAGUGGUUGUUAAAGUCCUUGAGUGGUUGGAAUUGAUUGUAAAAGUCUUGAGAGGUCUUAAAUUUUGAAAAUAUGUCUUUCAAGACUAACAAAAUACACACUCUCUUUCUUCAAAUUUCAAGAUCAAACAUCCACUUUUUCUUCAACAAUAGAUGAAGAUGUGAAGAACACAUUUUUUUGAAUCUUGAAGUUCUAAGGUUCAAGUUAGACCCCAAACAUCAACAACACCUUUUCAAGCUUAAAAAUACAACACAAUAACCACCAUACACAUUCAAAACUUGAACCAACAACACACCACACGUCCAAGCUUUGAAUCCGCAACAACAAUACCACCAACAAUCACACGGCCAAAGUUUAGGUUCAUAACAACAACAUCAACAAUUGAAGCUCAAAUCUAGAUCUAGACUUCUUUAGUGUUAGAGAUGAAGAAGAUAACACUAGAAACAACAAAACAAAUAAAAUGACUCCUAGAUCUAGACUCAAAACAAGAAAAAUUUUGGCCAAGACACAAAAUGGACAGAUUUGCUUCUUUUUGGAAUUUUCAAAUUUCAACUUUUUUUUUUAAUUUUCUAACGAGAAAGCCCAAGAUUGAUCUUGUAGGAAUAAGAUCUAGCCAUCCUCUGAUGCCAAAUGAUACAAGAAAGACAAAGAAAUACGAAACAAACACCAAAAUUAGUCCACUAGCCAAGAAACCGAGGACCUCUUUUGGUGACCCCUCUCGAUUCACUACCAACAAGAAGAAUACAAGGUACAAUGACAUAAUAACACCAAAACAGUAGCAACACAACAAGAACAAGAUGAACAAUAGACUAAUUUCAGAUUCUAUAUUAACAACACAAACACACGGUUACAACAUCAACACUACUACACGAUUACAAAGAAACAAAAAAGAUAGAUAGUUAGACAAAUUGAAGGUAUAAUAUUAACAACCCAAAAGCCUAUUCCACUCUUGAACCUUUAACAUCACACACAUCAAAUACCUAACUCUUACGUUGGCACAAGAGUGACCCCGAUCUCCCAAGCAUCCAACAUUUCCAAGCUUCAAUCCAACACGAGCGAUUCCACACUCAAGUUGAUUUUCCUAGUUACAAUUUCGGGUGGUGGUCUUCUCUCCUUAGAGAGAAAAUGUUUCAAGUGUUAUAAACUCAUAAUAUUCAUCAAAAUAUCCCUAAUGAAACCCUACAUUAUUCUAUUUAUAGUGUAUUACAAAUAAUAGGUAAAAUGACUAGAAGGCCCCUUAGUGAAGGGGCACCCCUCUAGUAUAUGUAGUGGACUGAUUUGGCCCUUUUAGUGUAUGUAGUGGACUGUUUUGGUGUCCAUUUAGGUGCUCCUUUGUACUUCAUUGCACACACCAAGCCUUGGGUCUAACGUACGCCCUCAUAAGUCCAUCUACACGAUCGUACUCGUAUUAACCUUUUUUCGAAUAAUAUCAUUCCUAACCCUGUCAGCCCUUGUGAAACCACACAUCCAAUGCAACAUCCUUAUUUUCGCCACUUUCAACUUCUGGAUAUGAGAAUUCUUAACCGGUCAACACUCCGCUCCAUACAACAUAGAAGGUCAGAUUGCAAUUCUAUAGAAUUUGCCUUUUAGCUUCUAGGGCACCUUCUUAUCACAUAAAAUACCUGAAGCAAGCCUCUAUUUCAUCCAACCAGCCCCAAUACGGUGAGAGACAUCCUCAUCUAUAUCUCCAUUCCCCUGAAUCAUAAACCUGAGAUACUUAAAACUAUCCCUCUUGCAAACCACCUGAGAAUCCAACUUCACUACCACCUCCUUCUCGUGCCUCGAGUCACUAAACUUGAAUUUCAAGUACUCCGUCUUGCUCUGCUCAACCGGAAACCUUUAGACUCCAGGGUUUGUCUCCAAACCUCCAGCUUAUCAUUAACCCUUUUUCGCGACUCAUCAAUCAAAACUAUAUCAUCCGCGAAAAGCAUACACCAAGGCACCUCGCCUUGUAUAUUCCGCGGCAACACAUCCAUCACCAAAGCAAAUAAAAAUGGACUAAGAAUUGAUCCCUGGUGCAACCCUGUUAAGACCGGGAAAUGUUCAGAAUCUCCUCCCACAGUCCUUACCCGAGUCUUCGCCCCUUCAUACAUGUCCUUAAUAGCUCUGAUGUACGCCACCGGGACCCCUCUGGCCUCCAAGCAUCUCCAAAGAACCUCCCUAGGUACCUUGUCAUACGCCUUUUCCAAGUCAAUAAACAUCAUGUAAAGAUCCCUCUUCCUCUCUCUAUACCGCUCUACCAGUCUCCGCACAAGGUGAAUUGCCUCAGUCGUGGAGCGAUCAGGCAUAAAACCAAAUUGAUUCUCCGAAAUAGCCACAAUCUUCCACAACCUCUGCUCCAACAUUAUUAGUGACAAUUAUAUUAUACUCCCUCUGUUUUAGAAUAAAUGAAUUGUUAAAAUAUUUAUUGAUGUUUCAAAAUAAGUGAAUAAUUGAAUUUUUUUUUUCAAAAUUACUCUUAUGAUUUGACAAGCAAAAGACUGCAGCUUUUUUGGGGGGAGGGGGAGGGGGGUAAAAGAGAUUUCAAGGGUAAAAAUGAAAAUUUAUAUCUUUGAUGUUUUUUUCUUAAUCUGUGUGUCAAAAUCCAACAAUUCAUUUAUCUCGAAACGAUGGAAGUAGUAUUUUUUGUAAAUGCUUAUAAGAUCUUUAUUAUUCUUUGUUCGAUAUCCAAUGGAUUCAGCCUUUCUAAAACCUAUCCCUCCGUUUCAUUUUAUGUUUCGUCAUUUUAUUUUUAGUUCGUCUAAAAAAGAAUGGCAUCUUUCCUUAUUUGGUAGUAACUAUUUAAUGACAAUAUUCUCAUUUUAUUCUUACUAGAUCUCACUUAAUAAGAAAAGACAAUUAAAAAAUAAACUUUAAGAGGGAUAAUUUUAUAAACUUUACAAAGUCAUCACUCAUUUCUUAAACUCCGUACCCGAUCAAAAGGCAACACAUAAAACGAAACGGAGGAAGUAAAAUAUUAUUGAUACUGUCAAUGAUAUCACUUCAUUGUGAUAUUGACAUGACAACCACAACAGAAUCAUGUCUGAUAUUAGUUACAUGUCACAGUAGUCCACAUUUUGCUAUCAAACAAAGAUUAACAAAAACCCAUAAGUUUCCAAAAGAGAAAAGACUCAAGAAAAUACAAAGUGAAAAAAAAAAAAAAAGAGAAGAAGCAAAAUGGAGAAGAUAGAACACAAAAUGGUAGCUGUAAAUGGCAUAAACAUGCAUGUAGCAGAAUUAGGCCAAGGUCCAAUAGUCCUCUUCAUACAUGGCUUCCCUGAACUCUGGUAUUAUUUUCUUGAAUCUUGAAUUUUGUAAGUCAUAAUUAUGAUUAUAUAUCUGUUGCUGGUGGGAGGUGUGGUAGAUAUUCUGUUGAUUUAGUCGAGGCGCAUGAAAGUUGGCCCGAACACCAUGGUCAUAAAAAAGAUCUUAGUUAUGUUAGAUUUAGUAAGUUUGGGAAACUUAUAUUUGUUUAUUGUGUUGUAUAAUUUUGUUCUCUAUUUGUUUUGAUUUUGUUAUUGAAAGUCAACUUACCACAGGUGAUAAGGAUAACUAAUCCGGGGUUAAUUUAGACGAGGAGCUUAUUCCAUGUUUGGUUGGGACAAAAUAAGUGAGAUAACUCAUCCCGGGAUUAGUUAUCUCGGGAUUGAAGUGUUUUUCUUAUCCCUCCUGGAGAGUCGGAUAACUAAUCCCGGGAUAACUUAUUUUCCAACCAAACAAGAAUUAAAGACUAUGUUGCUGUUGUUGUUGUUGUUUUUAGUUAUCGGUCCUAAGCCGGGAUCUAUCGGAAACAACCUCUCUACUUCACUUGAGGUAGUGCUAUGGUCUGCGUACACUCUACCCUACCCAAACCCCACUAGGUGGGACUCAUAGGGGAGAAUACACUGGAUAUGUUGUUGUCGUUGUUGUUGUUUUGGUUGUGUACUUAGUUAAUCCAGAAUGUGCCCCAAUUGUAGUUAGAAACUUUUCCCUAAUGUACAAUUCUUCUAACUAGGCUUGUUGAAUCUUGUUAAAUACUUAUGCUAUUUUUUUUUUAUUAUUCUCUUUGCUUUGACUGUGUGCUAGUUAAUUGAUGAUCUUAAGAUUUGGGAAUUCACUUGUUGUAGGAUUCUGAAAGGGCUUGAGUAACAUUAAAGUUGUCUCUGUGUGACCUAUUGAUCACGGAUUCGAGCUAUAGAAGCAACCCAAUGAUGCUUCAUUAUAGUAUUAGGUUGUCUACUGUACCCCUUGGGAUGUGGCCCUUCCUUGAACUAACCUUGCGUGAACGCAGGAUGCUUUUUACAUUGGGCUGUUCUUUUUACUUCUUGUACAAUUAGGAACUACCCGAGAUUUGUAUAAUGAGAUUGUAAUUAGGAGAUUCUUCUUACUGUACAAUUUCUCUCAUUCAUAGUGAAAAUCUCUCUUGUUUUCGCUUUUAGGACUAAGCUUGGGUCAACCCGUAAUACUUUGUGUUCUACAGGUACUCAUGGCGCCACCAAAUGGUCUAUUUAGCUGAACGUGGCUACCGUGCCGUGGCACCAGACUUAAGGGGUUAUGGAGAUACUACAGGUGCACCCCUUAAUGAACCUGCAAAGUUCAGUAUCUUUCACCUUGUGGGUGAUCUUGUAGCACUGCUUGAAGCCAUAGAUCCAAAUGAAGAUAACGUGUUUGUUGUUGCUCAUGACUGGGGUGCCAUAAUUGCUUGGAAUUUAUGCCUUUUUAGGCCAGACAAAGUUAAGGCAUUGGUGAAUUUGAGUGUCCAUUUUUUUCAAAGGAACCCACACAUGAAUUUCGUGGAGGGGUUUAAGGCUUUAUAUGGGGAAGAUCAUUAUAUCCCGAGAUUUCAGGUUCUCGUUAUUCUUGUCUGUGUAUCUGUUUAAUUUGUCAUUUAUGUUUGAUAGGUAUUCUACAAGUUUAAUGCAACAUGGCACAUUAAACUCUCCAUGCACACUGGAUUCAGGUUGUGGCGGAGGUAGAAUUUUCACCGAGGAAUUCAUCGUGUACCAUAUAUACACAAGAAAGAAACUUUGGCCUUAUAUAUACUGUGCGUGAUUGUCCAGCAAAGAAGAUCCGGAUGAACCUCCUUCCGCCCGUCCAGCUCCAGCCCUGGCCAUUCGGGGAUGGGCUGGACCAUAUUGAGUCUAUUGUUGACAAUUCUUACCUUGCAAACAUUACGUUAGUGAUAUCUCAUUAAUUUGUUUGGAACAUGUUGCAUACCAUUCAAACGUUCUUUGGAAUAACCGUAAUAUUAACUCUAUCUUAGUCUACCUGACUUUGAAUUGAGAGAGUACGUGUUUGCCUCUUGUAGAUAAGUCAGCACUCGUUUGGGGUCCGCCCCUGGCUUUGUCAUUUAGCGGUAACAGCUGGAGUUUGCUCCUCUUUCUAGGGAUCUAAUGGUCGUAAACUACCUUGUAUGAUAAGGGAGUAGGUUUCUCGAGAUUUAAUUAUUUCAGCAGCAGAAAGUUCACAAUGAUUUUACAUUGCAGGUACCGGGCGAAAUUGAAGCUGAAUUUGCCCCAUAUGGUGCUAAGGCUGUUCUUAAGAAAUUUUUGACAUACCGUGAUCCUGCACCAUUUUAUUUUCCUAAAGGCAGAGGCCUCGACGCUAUCCCUGAUGCUCCUGCUGCCCUUUCAUCUUGGCUGUCUGAGGAAGAGUUGGAUUACUAUGCCAGCAAGUUUGAGAAGACUGGUUUCACUAGUGCAGUCAACUAUUACCGAGCUCUUCCAUUGUAAGCGUUCCUCGCCUUCUGUGAUAUUGAAACCUUGGCCAAAUAGAUUAUAAAAAAAAAGAGAAAAUGCACUAUUUCCACCUUGAACUAUAAACGAAAUGGCUGAGACACACUUCAACUAAACGGGGGUCCUAUUACCCUUGGACUAGUUAAAACUGUAUUUUUGGCAACCUUAAGGCCUGCGUGAAUCAACAUACUGAAGGUCCAUGUAGGCACACAUAUGUGCCCACGUACGCACUUAAAGUUGCCAAAAAUACGGUUUUAAUUAGUCCAGGGGGUAAUAGGACCCCCUUUAAGUUGGGGUGUGUUUCAACAAUUUUGUUUAUAGUUCAGGAUGGAAAUAGUGCAUUUACUCUUAAAAAAAAUACCUUAGUUUGUCUUAGAAGACAAAUUACGUGGACCUUAUUAGAAUGAAACAAACAUGAAAGGAGCAGAAUCGAUGCGGUGGAGCCUCACAGAACCUAACUAACUUGUAAUCGAUGCAUAGUUAAUUGAUCGAUAUAAAUUAUCAUGCUGUCUAGGAAGUCUAGAAAACUGUGAAGUUCAUGUCUUCAUGACCGCUAUCGUACUCUAUGUUGCUCAGGCUCUUCAAAACUGGUGCCACACUUGUGCCGGAUCCUCUAAAAUGCACUGUUUUUGGAGGAUCCGACACGCAUCAAGAAGCAUUUCAAAAGAGUCCGAACAACAUAGAUUCUAUUAGUUGCUUUUAGACUAUCUUGAUCAACUUCUUCAUACAUGGACGCUAGCAACGCUUAGUAUCUUUAGUCAAGAAAAUGUCAUUUUUGACGUAUAUAUAUAUUUGGGAUUUGAAGUUUGGAGUUGCCCGAAACUUUACAUACAUCCUAAAGUUCUCUGUCUUAUGCAAUGCAGAGACUGGGAACUCACAGCACCCUGGACUGGGGCUCAAGUUAAAGUUCCGACCAAGUUUAUCACUAGUGAAUUCGACUUGGUUUAUCAUAUACCGGGUGCUAAAGAGUACAUACACAAUGGCGGAUUUAAUAAAGAUGUUCCAUUGUUGGAGGAAGUUGUGGUUAUUGAAGGUGCAGCUCACUUUGUCAACCAAGAAAAACCAGAUGAGAUUAACAAGCACAUCUAUGACUUUAUUCAGAAGUUCUAAACUUACUUUUUUCUCACUACCACAAGUCGAGUCUGACUCUAUGGCAUGGACGUCUUUGUUUGGAUCGAUGGAGACA
Molecule: long non-coding RNA, 23959 nt
Filed under: Capsicum annuum
Lineage: Eukaryota; Viridiplantae; Streptophyta; Magnoliopsida; Solanales; Solanaceae
Description: long non-coding RNA (CANN_LNC008979)
Source: RNAcentral